AUGGAAAAGAAGGUAUUCAUGCCAUUUGAAAAGGAAGACCGAUACACACUAUUAGUGCUCGACAAAUAUAGAAGGAAGCUUCAAAUCAUCGAGCCUGAAGAAACCUCUCUUGAAGAAUUGAAGAGGCAAGAAUACCUGAAAAAACAACGUGCUCGCCACGUGCAUGAUGGCAAACUAAGUAAGCAAAUUGCUGACAUGGAAAUCAAUGAAGCAAACAAAGAAAAGGAGCAUAAAAAAUACCACAACCAUAAAGAAAAACUGGUGCCCGAGUUCAAGGAAGUAUACGAAAUAUUACUCAGUGAAAAAUUCAAAAAGGAAAGGACUAAAUGGGAAGUUCAAUUUUUAAAGGACGUUCCAAAGGUGAACAAAGGUGAAACCCCGUUUGCUGUUCUAAGGUUCGCGCAUCUCUUUGAUGGCAACCACUUCGUCGAAGAGAUAGAUAAUUUCGAUGAUGGCACAGAACAAUGGAAAGCACAACAACUGUGUAGGCUACUAUUUAGCAAUCAGAAUACAAUCGAACCCAGCGAAAUGGGCGAUGAGAUUAGAAAGAUCUAUGACGACAUCAAGGAAUAA
RNAcentral lists this ribosomal RNA (573 nucleotides) under Triticum aestivum (bread wheat). Its description in RNAcentral is "partial small subunit ribosomal RNA". Lineage: Eukaryota; Viridiplantae; Streptophyta; Magnoliopsida; Poales; Poaceae. The record is from RNAcentral.